Long non-coding RNA from Rosa chinensis, 415 nucleotides. RefSeq lists it as uncharacterized. Lineage: Eukaryota; Viridiplantae; Streptophyta; Magnoliopsida; Rosales; Rosaceae. The transcript is spliced from 3 exons. The record is from RefSeq and is a predicted model, not a curated record.
UCUGUUAGAAGAAGAAGCAAUUAGCCUUUUGAAUAUGGUGAAAACAAUUUUUUCUGGACAACCACUUCCUACCAAACUGAUGCUUAAGAACAUUUGUAUUUGUCUCGCUCCUGAUGCUAACCUCAUUAGAGAUGUCAGUGUGAAGUACAAGACUGAAACAAACUCUGUGAUUCAGCUAUAUUUUCAAAUUGAGCGGGCAGUGGGAUUGAGUCCACCAGAUUGAGAGCAUUAAUAGAUCUUUUUGAUGAAAUUAUAGACGAACCAUUUUACGAUCAACUAAGGACGAAGGAGCAGCUGGGAUAUGUUGUUCAGUGUGACUGGGAGGUGAUAUUUGGUGUUUUUGGCUUUUAUUUCAUAGUUCAAUCGUCGGAGUACAACCCAAUGUACUUGCAGCGGAGAGUUGACAACAUUAUCA